GCAAGGAGCGCUGUGCUCGCGCUUCCCUUUGACUCUACUCCCCCCCCCCCCGCCGAAAUCCCCUCUUCCAACUUUCAGCCUUUUGCGUUUCCUUUCAGUUUUUCACUUCUCAUCCCUCCUGGCAGCGUUUGCCGAGCCCUAGAACCCAGCCCUGAUCUAAGUCAUAGAAAAAUCAAAGUGAUGCGUGCCACUGGUUUGGAUCAUAUGCACACAAUUCAAAAAGAAAAAGGAAGAGAAAUCUGAUCCUGAGUGAGGGGAGCAGAACAUUUGAAGCAUGCACUUUGAGUUCCUUGCAAAAAAAAGAAAUGGACUUUCCCACAAGAUUAAGAAAUGGAGAGGAGCAUACAAUAUGUGGGAGAACUCAAAUGCUCUUAGAUUUAGGAAGUGAAGUGUGUGCGGCUUGAGAAAGGUAGGAGAGUUGAAUGCUACACCAGAAGAACGUAAGAACAUAUGAAUGGCCAUACUGCGUCAGACCAACGGUCCAUCUCGCCCACUAUCCUGUCUUCCACAACAGUAGCUAGCGCCAGAAGCUUCAAAAGGAAUGAACAGAACUGGGCAACUUUCAAAUGAUCCAUCUGUCAUCCAGUCUCAGGCCUUGGUUACACUUGCGAGUUGCAGCGCUGUAAAGCCGCCCCCAGCGCUGUAACUCACUCCCCGUCCACACUGGCGAGGCAUUUGCAGAGCUGUAUCUCCUUGGUUGCAGUGUGGCCACCCAAUGCUCUGUGAAUGGCCUCCAGAAUUAUUCGACAGUAUCCCACAAUGCCUGUUCUAGCCACUCUGGUCAUCAGUUCAAACUCUACUGCCCUGGCCUCAGAUAACCAACCA
Molecule: non-coding RNA, 825 nt
Organism: Chrysemys picta bellii (western painted turtle)
Lineage: Eukaryota; Metazoa; Chordata; Testudines; Emydidae
Source: RefSeq, a predicted model, not a curated record